CCAGCCGUACCAGUGGCAGCGCCGAUCGCCGAUGGGUCUACGCCAAGUUUGGUGGCUGAUAAACCAAAGAGUUCGUUCUCUUCGUGGUUUUAUCAGAAGCAAAAUCCCAACUCUGAGGGUGUUCCCUGGUGCAGGCUCUUAUCCCAGUCUUCACAGAAUCCGAAUGUUCCUAUUUCCACAUCGAACUUCACAAUUGGUUCUAGUAGAAAUUUCAACU
This is a long non-coding RNA of Arachis stenosperma, 217 nucleotides long. RefSeq lists it as uncharacterized. NCBI's taxonomy places the organism in Eukaryota, Viridiplantae, Streptophyta, Magnoliopsida, Fabales, Fabaceae. The record is from RefSeq and is a predicted model, not a curated record. The transcript has 3 exons.